RNAcentral lists this ribosomal RNA (705 nucleotides) under Salmonella enterica subsp. enterica serovar Newport. RNAcentral describes it as "partial 23S ribosomal RNA". It matches the Rfam family "Bacterial large subunit ribosomal RNA", at positions 1105 to 1921 of the family's 2925-position model. The record is from RNAcentral. Lineage: Bacteria; Pseudomonadati; Pseudomonadota; Gammaproteobacteria; Enterobacterales; Enterobacteriaceae.
CUUAGAAGCAGCCAUCAUUUAAAGAAAGCGUAACAGCUCACUGGUCUAAAUAAGGGUCUUUGCGCCUAAAAUGUAACGGGGCUAAAGCCAUACACCGAAGCUUUGGGUGCAUAGCAAUAUGCGCGGUAGCGGAGCGUUCUGUAGGCCUGUGAAGGGAGACCCGUGAGGGCUCCUGGAGGUAUCAGAAGUGCGAAUGCUGACAUGAGUAACGUAAGGAGUGUGAGAGACACUCCCGCCGAAAGACCAAGGGUUCCUGCUUAAAGUUAAUCUGAGCAGGGUUAGCCGGACCCUAAGGCGAGGCCGAAAGGCGUAGUCGAUGGGAAUCACGUUAAUAUUCGUGAGCCUGCAGGUAGUGACGGAUCAUCAAGGUAGUUCAUUCUUAUUGGAUUGAAUGGGCUGCUGCGUGGUUCCAGGAAAUAGCUCCUGCUUAUAGUCCGUACCCGAAACCGACACUGGUGGUCUGGUAGAGUAUACCAAGGCGCUUGAGAGAACUAUGCUGAAGGAACUCGGCAAAUUGCACGCGUAACUUCGGAAGAAGCGUGACCCCUUAGUACGCAAGUAUUGGGGGGUGGCACAGACCAGGGGGUAGCGACUGUUUAUCAAAAACACAGGGCUCUGCGAAGCCGCAAGGCGACGUAUAGGGUCUGACGCCUGCCCGGUGCUGGAAGGUUAAGAGGAGAGGUGCAAGCUUUGAAUCGAAGCCCC